This 486-nucleotide ribosomal RNA is filed under the name uncultured bacterium. RNAcentral describes it as "bacterial SSU rRNA". It matches the Rfam family "Bacterial small subunit ribosomal RNA", at positions 43 to 507 of the family's 1533-position model. The record is from RNAcentral.
CGUGCCUAAUACAUGCAAGUCGAGCGGAAUGAUGAAGAAGCUUGCUUCUUCUGAUUUUAGCGGCGGACGGGUGAGUAACACGUGGGCAACCUACCUUGUAGAUUGGGAUAACUCCGGGAAACCGGGGCUAAUACCGAAUAAUCCAUUUUUGCUUCAUGGCGAGAUGUUGAAAGACGGUUUCGGCUGUCACUACAAGAUGGGCCCGCGGCGCAUUAGCUAGUUGGUAGGGUAAUGGCCUACCAAGGCGACGAUGCGUAGCCGACCUGAGAGGGUGAUCGGCCACACUGGGACUGAGACACGGCCCAGACUCCUACGGGAGGCAGCAGUAGGGAAUCUUCCACAAUGGACGAAAGUCUGAUGGAGCAACGCCGCGUGAGUGAAGAAGGUUUUCGGAUCGUAAAACUCUGUUGUAAGGGAAGAACACGUACGAGAGUAACUGCUCGUACCUUGACGGUACCUUAUUAGAAAGCCACGGCUAACUACGUG